Non-coding RNA from Vicugna pacos (alpaca), 467 nucleotides. NCBI's taxonomy places the organism in Eukaryota, Metazoa, Chordata, Mammalia, Artiodactyla, Camelidae. The record is from RefSeq and is a predicted model, not a curated record.
UAUUCCGAUUCCCAGGUCUUUCUCCAGACUUGCUGCUUUGUAAUCUCCAGAUGAUGGCUUGGGUGUUUUUAACAAGCAUGAUUAGGAAACACUGGCACAGAGGAAAGUGCAUCCUAAAUCAGGGGAUUUGGCCCAUUAACCUAAUCCUCUAUUGGCCUUCUGCUGAAAAUGUUUGCUUUGAUUUUUGUCUGGUGAAUUCCAUCCAUGCUAUGUUUGCAGACUCCUUGAUAACAUGUGGGGAACUUACUUGGUGGAAACACAGAACAUCAUAACUCAACAUGACCCUUUAAAGAGUCAUGGAGGAGGACAUCAAGUACCAAUUCUUUUCUGGAUAUCGUGCCGGGCAUUUUUACAUGCAUUGCCUCAUUGAUUUCCCCACAGCAACUUCAGGUGCCUGCUGUGAGCCCUCUGCAGGUGGCACCCUGAGAGCCGGCGCAACUGGAGGAAGCACAAAGGAAAAGAAAAAA